GUGAAUCAUCGAAUUUUUGAACGCAAAUUGCGCCUUUUUCGGAAGGCAUGUCGGGUUGAGGGGUCCGUUUAACAGAUAAUGUGCAGCGUUUUUUGUUGCACAGGUUGAGGAGCUUUCCAAGAAUUUUAAAGUGUGGGUUGCGUAUAAUGAACAGCGUGAAAGUUUUUUUCAGUUCGAGUGUAGUAAAAUCUUUGCUUGGGUUGUGAAAAAACAGAAUCGCGCAAUGGGUGGGGCAAUUUCUUGUUAUCCCUUCCCCAGCGCCACUCUUUCUCGCUAAAGUAUAUUAAUCUUCAGGG
This 296-nucleotide unclassified non-coding RNA is filed under the name Paraglomerales sp. RNAcentral describes it as "partial internal transcribed spacer 2". Lineage: Eukaryota; Fungi; Glomeromycota; Glomeromycetes; Paraglomerales. The record is from RNAcentral.